UGUUAAUAAUUUAUAUAAAAUAUUUUGAUGAAUAUUUAUAUAAUAUUAACAUAAUUCAUAUUACUAUUUUUUUUUUUAGUAUAUGAAAUUUUACUUUGAGAAAAUUAGAGUGCUUAAAGCAGGCAUAUGCCUUGAAUACUCCAGCAUGGAAUAAUAUUAAAGAUUUUUAUCUUUUUUAUUGGUUCUAAGAUAAGAAUAAUGAUUAAUAGGGACAGUUGGGGGCAUUUGUAUUUAACAGUCAGAGGUGAAAUUCUUAGAUUUGUUAAAGACAAACUGAUGCGAAAGCAUUUGCCAAGGAUGUUUUCAUUAAUCAAGAACGAAAGUUAGGGGAUCGAAGACGAUCAGAUACCGUCGUAGUCUUAACCAUAAACUAUGCCAACUAGAGAUUGGAGGUUGUU
This 398-nucleotide ribosomal RNA is filed under the name Cryptosporidium environmental sequence. RNAcentral describes it as "partial small subunit ribosomal RNA". It matches the Rfam family "Eukaryotic small subunit ribosomal RNA", at positions 662 to 1064 of the family's 1831-position model. The record is from RNAcentral. Lineage: Eukaryota; Apicomplexa; Conoidasida; Eucoccidiorida; Cryptosporidiidae.